Molecule: antisense RNA, 90 nt
Filed under: Klebsiella sp. OBRC7
Lineage: Bacteria; Pseudomonadati; Pseudomonadota; Gammaproteobacteria; Enterobacterales; Enterobacteriaceae
Description: putative CopA-like RNA
Rfam family: CopA-like RNA
About the family: In several groups of bacterial plasmids, antisense RNAs regulate copy number through inhibition of replication initiator protein synthesis.
Source: RNAcentral
AUAGAGCAACAAUCUCUAUGCAGUUUAGUUAAGGGCCCCGAUAAUCUUCUAGAGUCGCCAAACUUGGAAAGAUUAUCGGGGUUUUUGCUU